RNAcentral lists this ribosomal RNA (1113 nucleotides) under Triticum aestivum (bread wheat). RNAcentral's name for it is "partial small subunit ribosomal RNA". The record is from RNAcentral. Lineage: Eukaryota; Viridiplantae; Streptophyta; Magnoliopsida; Poales; Poaceae.
AUGCUGAAGGCCCAAAAGGAGGCAUGGGCUUCUACUGGAUGUUCUAUAAUGACAGAUGCUUGGACUGAUAGACGUGGAAGAAGCUUAAUGAAUUUGGUUGCUCAUUCUGCUAGAGGCGUGUGUUUCCUUCGUGACGUUGAAUCUUCAACAGAGGUUCAUGAUGCUAAGUAUAUCUACAGCUUGGUAAUGAGUUGCAUAUCCGAAGUUGGUGCUGAAAAGAUUGUACAAGUGGUCACGGACAAUGCGUCCAACAAUAUGGCGGCGGCAAUGUUACUUAAGCAGAAGCACCCUCAGAUAUUUUGGACCUCAUGUGCAGCUCACACCAUCAACCUAAUGAUGCAGGACAUCGGUAGUAUACCCAUUGUUAGUUCAGCAAUUACCAAUGCUAAGACCAUUACAAAUUUUUUCUAUGCACACACUAGAGUGCUGGCUUUUCUUCGCAAGUAUGCCAAAUGUGAUUUGGUUCGAGCCGGCGCUACUAGAUUUGCAAGUCAUUACUUGAACUUGAAGAGUUUGUAUACAAAGAGAAAGCAAUUGAAGCUACUGUUUGCAUCAAAUGAUUGGGCUGAUAGUUCUUUUGCUAAGAAGCAGUUAGGCAAAUGUGUAUACAAGCUUGUAAUGGACAAUAGGUUUUGGGCCAAGAUCAACCUGCUAGUGAACUAUUUUGAGCCACUUGCAAAUGUGCUUAGGAGGGUUGAUGGAGACACCCCGGCCAUGGGUUUUUUAUAUGGUGAUCUUCUACAAGCAAAGCAAGAAAUAGCAGCAAGGCCGAAUCACAUUGAGAACAAAUAUGUUCCUAUUUGGGAGAUCAUAGAUAGAAGGUGGGAUAACAAGAUGAAAACUGCAUUGCAUAAAGCUGGGUAUUUCUUGAACCCUUUCUUCUACUAUGACAGACAGAAUGAAAUGGCAGAAGAGGAUUUCCUGGAAUCAGUCAUAGAAUGUGCAUCUAUUAUAUACAAAAAUGACACAGAGGUGCAAGACAAUAUUGUAUCCCAGCUUAGUUAUUAUACAGAAGCCAUAGAUUCAUUUGGAACUAAGAUGGCCAUUAGACAAUGCGAGGUAGCACCUAUCAGCCCUGGUAAGAAGACUAUAACUUGCAAAGUUCCUUCUUGA